GACGAACCGUGCGAACGUUGUUCGGAAUCACUGGGCUUAAAGGGCGCGUAGGCGGGCUGCCAAGUCCGGGGUGAAAUCCUCCAGCUCAACUGGAGAACUGCCUCGGAUACUGGAAGUCUCGAGGGAGAUAGGGGCACGCGGAACCGUGGGUGGAGCGGUGAAAUGCGUUGAUAUCCAUGGGAACUCCGGUGGCGAAGGCGGCGUGCUGGAUCUCUUCUGACGCUGAGGCGCGAAAGCCAGGGGAUCAAACGGG
RNAcentral lists this ribosomal RNA (253 nucleotides) under uncultured bacterium. RNAcentral's name for it is "partial 16S ribosomal RNA". It matches the Rfam family "Bacterial small subunit ribosomal RNA", at positions 524 to 776 of the family's 1533-position model. The record is from RNAcentral.